AGAGUUUGAUUAUGGCUCAGGCCCGAUUGCUGGCGGCGUGCUUACACAUGCAAGUCGAACGGGCCAUUACACGGCGAUGCGAUUUCGGUCAAAUCAAGUGCAAUCUUAGUGGCGGACGGGUGAGUAACGCGUGGGUAACCUGCCUUGCACUGGGGGAUAACACUUAGAAAUAGGUGCUAAUACCGCAUAAGCGCACGGUCCUGCAUGGGACAGUGUGAAAAACUCCGGUGGUGCAAGAUGGACCCGCGUCUGAUUAGCUGGUUGGCGGGGUAAAGGCCCACCAAGGCGACGAUCAGUAGCCGGCCUGAGAGGGUGGACGGCCACAUUGGGACUGAGACACGGCCCAAACUCCUACGGGAGGCAGCAGUGGGGGAUAUUGGACAAUGGGGGGAACCCUGAUCCAGCGACGCCGCGUGAGUGAAGAAGUAUUUCGGUAUGGAAAGCUCUGUCAGCAGGGAAGAAAGCAAUGACGGUACCUGACCAAGAAGCCCCGGCUAACUACGUGCCAGCAGCCGCGGUAAUACGUAGGGGGCAAGCGUUAUCCGGAAUUACUGGGUGUAAAGGGAGCGUACACGGCUGUGCAAGUCUGGAGUGAAAGGCGGCGGCCCAACCCCCGGACUGCUCUGGAAACUGUAUGGCUGGAGUGCAGGAGAGGUAAGCGGAAUUCCUAGUGUAGCGGUGAAAUGCGUAGAUAUUACGAGGAACACCAGUGGCGAAAGCGGCUUACUGGACUGUAACUGACGUU
Molecule: ribosomal RNA, 745 nt
Filed under: uncultured bacterium
Lineage: Bacteria
Description: bacterial SSU rRNA
Rfam family: Bacterial small subunit ribosomal RNA
Source: RNAcentral